RNAcentral lists this microRNA (22 nucleotides) under Patiria miniata (bat star). Its description in RNAcentral is "Pmi-Mir-96-P3_3p* (star (passenger))". The record is from RNAcentral. Lineage: Eukaryota; Metazoa; Echinodermata; Asteroidea; Valvatida; Asterinidae.
GUGAGUUCUGUGAUGCCGUGCC